RNAcentral lists this ribosomal RNA (498 nucleotides) under uncultured bacterium. Its description in RNAcentral is "partial 16S ribosomal RNA". It matches the Rfam family "Bacterial small subunit ribosomal RNA", at positions 30 to 523 of the family's 1533-position model. The record is from RNAcentral.
AUUGAACGCUGGCGGCAUGCCUUACACAUGCAAGUCGAACGGUAACAGGUCUUCGGAUGCUGACGAGUGGCGAACGGGUGAGUAAUACAUCGGAACGUGCCUAGUAGUGGGGGAUAACUACUCGAAAGAGUGGCUAAUACCGCAUGAGAUCUACGGAUGAAAGCAGGGGAUCGCAAGACCUUGUGCUACUAGAGCGGCCGAUGGCAGAUUAGGUAGUUGGUGGGAUAAAAGCUUACCAAGCCGACGAUCUGUAGCUGGUCUGAGAGGACGAUCACCCACACUGGGACUGAGACACGGCCCAGACUCCUACGGGAGGCAGCAGUGGGGAAUUUUGGACAAUGGGCGCAAGCCCGAUCCAGCAAUGCCGCGUGCAGAAUGAAGGCCUUCGGGUUGUAAACUGCUUUUGUACGGAACGAAAAGCCCUGGGUUAAUACCCUGGGGUCAUGACGGUACCGUAAGAAUAAGCACCGGCUAACUACGUGCCAGCAGCCGCCGUAA